This 397-nucleotide ribosomal RNA is filed under the name uncultured bacterium. RNAcentral's name for it is "partial 16S ribosomal RNA". It matches the Rfam family "Bacterial small subunit ribosomal RNA", at positions 523 to 918 of the family's 1533-position model. The record is from RNAcentral.
AUGCGUAGGGGGCGAGCGUUGUCCGGAAUGAUUGGGCGUAAAGGGCGCGUAGGCGGCCCGGUAAGUCUGGAGUGAAGGUCCUGCUUUUAAGGUGGGAAUUGCUUUGGAUACUGUCGGGCUUGAGUGCAGGAGAGGUAAGUGGAAUUCCCAGUGUAGCGGUGAAAUGCGUAGAGAUUGGGAGGAACACCAGUGGCGAAGGCGACUUACUGGACUGUAACUGAUGCUGAGGCGCGAAAGUGUGGGGAGCAAACAGGAUUAGAUACCCUGGUAGUCCACACUGUAAACGAUGAAUGCUAGGUGUAGGGGGUAUCGACCCCUUCUGUGCCGCAGUUAACACAAUAAGCAUUCCGCCUGGGGAGUACGGCCGCAAGGUUGAAACUCAAAUGAAUUGACGGGG